CCUACGGGUGGCAGCAGUGAGGAAUAUUGGUCAAUGGACGCAAGUCUGAACCAGCCAUGCCGCGUGCAGGAAGACGGCUCUAUGAGUUGUAAACUGCUUUUGUACGAGGGUAAACUCAGAUACGCGUAUCUGUCUGAAAGUAUCGUACGAAUAAGGAUCGGCUAACUCCGUGCCAGCAGCCGCGGUAAUACGGAGGAUUCAAGCGUUAUCCGGAUUUAUUGGGUUUAAAGGGUGCGUAGGCGGUCGGAUAAGUUAGCGGUGAAAGCCCGAGGCUCAACUUCGGAAUUGCCUUUGAUACUGUUCGGCUAGAGAGUAGUUGCGGUAGGCGGAAGGUAUGGUGUAGCGGUGAAAUGCUUAGAGAUCAUACAGAACACCGAUUGCGAAGGCAGCUUACCAAGCUACGUCUGACGUUGAGGCACGAAAGCGUGGGGAGCAAACAGGAUUAGAUACCCCUGUAGUC
Molecule: ribosomal RNA, 460 nt
Filed under: uncultured bacterium
Lineage: Bacteria
Description: partial 16S ribosomal RNA
Rfam family: Bacterial small subunit ribosomal RNA
Source: RNAcentral